GAUGAACGCUGGCGGCGUGCCUAAUACAUGCAAGUCGAGCGAACAGACGAGGAGCUUGCUCCUCUGACGUUAGCGGCGGACGGGUGAGUAACACGUGGAUAACCUACCUAUAAGACUGGGAUAACUUCGGGAAACCGGAGCUAAUACCGGAUAAUAUAUUGAACCUCAUGGUUCAAUAGUGAAAGACGGUUUUGCUGUCACUUAUAGAUGGAUCCGCGCCGCAUUAGCUAGUUGGUAAGGUAACGGCUUACCAAGGCAACGAUGCGUAGCCGACCUGAGAGGGUGAUCGGCCACACUGGAACUGAGACACGGUCCAGACUCCUACGGGAGGCAGCAGUAGGGAAUCUUCCGCAAUGGGCGAAAGCCUGACGGAGCAACGCCGCGUGAGUGAUGAAGGUCUUCGGAUCGUAAAACUCUGUUAUUAGGGAAGAACAAAUGUGUAAGUAACUAUGCACGUCUUGACGGUACCCAAUCAGAAAGCCACGGCUAACUACGUG
RNAcentral lists this ribosomal RNA (497 nucleotides) under uncultured bacterium. Its description in RNAcentral is "partial 16S ribosomal RNA". It matches the Rfam family "Bacterial small subunit ribosomal RNA", at positions 28 to 507 of the family's 1533-position model. The record is from RNAcentral.